This 436-nucleotide ribosomal RNA is filed under the name Selenomonas sputigena. RNAcentral's name for it is "bacterial SSU rRNA". It matches the Rfam family "Bacterial small subunit ribosomal RNA", at positions 28 to 447 of the family's 1533-position model. The record is from RNAcentral. Lineage: Bacteria; Bacillati; Bacillota; Negativicutes; Selenomonadales; Selenomonadaceae.
GACGAACGCUGGCGGCGUGCUUAACACAUGCAAGUCGAACGGGAACCUUUAUUUCGGUAAGGGAGAGAGUGGCAAACGGGUGAGUAACACGUAGGCAACCUGCCGACAGGAUGGGGACAACAUUCCGAAAGGAAUGCUAAUACCGAAUGGAGUCCGAGGAUGGCAUCAUCCUUGGAUCAAAGAUGGCCUCUUAACAAUGCUAUCGCCUGUCGAUGGGCCUGCGUCUGAUUAGCCAGUUGGCGGGGUAACGGCCCACCAAAGCGACGAUCAGUAGCCGGUCUGAGAGGAUGAACGGCCACAUUGGGACUGAGACACGGCCCAGACUCCUACGGGAGGCAGCAGUGGGGAAUCUUCCACAAUGGGCGAAAGCCUGAUGGAGCAACGCCGCGUGAGUGAAGAAGGUCUUUCGGAUCGUAAAGCUCUGUUGCACGGGACG